UCCGUUCUGAAGACGUAUUUUCUGAGAAUACGUUUUGUGUUUUUCAGCUCAGGGGCCUGUUUGUAGAAAUCUUUUUACAGAAUGGUCCCUGAACUUCGUCGGGCUAUAUCUUUUCGACCACAACUCCAAAUGAGGUGAAUCCAAAGCCCACGUCUUCGUUUCGUCGAGCCCGUUCUAUUGGUUUCGUUUUCACGAUGGUUUGACACUAUGAAAAUGUCCUUUUUGCCCUUGCCAUUGAUCAGUCCCCCUUCGAGAGAGAACAUUUUCCGGCGAUUCUUUCCGCGAGCUUCUCGCACAAUCUUCACAAUGGUUCCUUCAUCCCCAGGCAAGCCACAAUACCCACUUGCAUGAUAGUCAUGCAAUAGCCAUGGUUUUCAACUUGAAUAUUUAUUAAAUGAUUACUUGUUUAAAAUAUGGUUAUCGUUGUUUCGGUAAUGCUUCUGGGUUAGUGCUUACUUUCUUGCUAUGUUGUUAUGCACCUGGUUAUCAUGCCCUGCUAGUUGCUAUAUAUUCCUUUCAUAUGCUUAUGCUUGCUAGUAGUACAUGUUGAUGUUGGUGAUGGUCUUCGGUGCAUGACUGCCGUCUGUCCCGAGUACCGUUGUUAUGCAUGUUCCAUUGCAUCCAGUUGGUUAAAUUCUUGCAUGAUGGCAUUGUUGAUAUGUUCUUGCAUGAUAUUUAUUGUUUAUGCUAGUGGUCAUGCUAUGUUUCGGAGAAGUAUGUACUUGUGAUGUUCAUGCUAGUCAGGAUGCCAUGCUCAAUGGAUAUGAUUCAUUGUUGAUAUGGUGGAUAGUUAUGUGGUACCCUCAUGAUUAUGUUGAUAUCAUGUUCAUGAAUUGUAAUUUGCAUCAUGUUAUUUUAUCAUGGCUCAUCAUAUUUGCAUUCAAGUUUAACGGGAUUAAAUUGAACUUGAACAACUAUUGGCUGAGUCAUGGUGCCACAAUAUCGAUCUGACCAGUGCAACCACGCUUACCUUUAUGGGAAGGUCCUAACUGUGUCUAUUGUCAUGCCUCUCGCCGGUGCCUCCAAUGAGGGAAGGUUAUGGGCGUGCGGUACCCUGGCUCGGUAAGCAGACAUAACCUUGUGUGCCCGUUGUUGUUGUUGUACCCGGGUUGUCCCUGUUGGGACCGUUUAUGUUUUGGCCACGACGGUGGCCGUUGGUGCCUUUGGUAGGCACGGGCCACCCAGGACUUAGCCCAAAGGGGAGUUGGUCGGAGUGGCCGGGAGAGUGUCAUGGCAGUAGGACGGUUUUGUCGGAACGCCGUUGGUCCACCCGAAUGGGAGUGCGAGGCCAUGGGUUCCGUAGUGUGGGUACAGUGUACUAACCUCUGCAGAGUGUAUAUUAAAUCUAUCGAUAGCCGCGCCCGCGGAUAAGGGCCCAGUUCGUGUCCGUCACACUGUGAGUCAACAAUAUUAAUAAUAAUGUGCUUAAUAACAACCCCGGUUCGAUGAUGAGAUAAGAUGGUUGUGAUCGCCGGAAAGAUCACCGUUUGGCUACGAGGUAGCCCAUUGAACCUAGAGUGGUUCCGUUUGUGAUCCGUGGAUGAUCACCGUGGUAUCGAGGAUACUGAGUUGUUGUAUAUUCAUGAUGUUGUGUGAGAAUCGUGGGUAAAAAUCAAGCUCCUUGUGGUCAUUUAAUGAUUACUACGGUAUUGUUUAUACCAAGCUUGAUUUGAUCCUGAUAUGAUCGUGUGAUGUCCGAGGUUGGUAAGUGAUGCAUGUGAUGGUUACGAAGUAACCCGAGCAGAAUAAAUAGUGCAUAUAGUGUCAUCAUCUUGCAUGCUAGUAUCAUCAGAUUUAUAUGCUCAUGCCAUGCUCAUAUUGUUCUAGCUGUAUCAUGUUCAUAUUGUUGAUGCCAUGUUAUCCUGAUGACCUCGUGAUAAUUCCUUCUUAACCUAUAAUUGCCAUGUUGUUGUUUGUCUUGAAUGCUUCUGGUUAUUGUGAGCUUGCAAGUACAUUCAAUGUACUGACCUAGCGUGUCAUGCCAGUUUGCAGGUCGUGCCUGGAUUGCUUGCUUGUUUGGUGUUGUUCCUGUGUUCGUGAGCUAGGAUAAACGUUCCAGCCAGAGUCCCUGCGGAUUGGAGUCCAUCAUCGUUGUUCGUUGUUCCGCUGCCAGUAGUUGUUCCGCUGCUUCGAGUUGCUAUGCUGCUUGUAUAGAGCAAGCGUGGUUGGCCUAGUGUCGCCGUGCCGAUGUUAUUCAUUGUAAUAUCAGAACCCUUGUAUUCAUAUUCGUGUUGUAAUAGAGAGCUGGUUUGUUCUAUACUAAGCAGUGCCGUAUUCCAGAAGACUUUACCUCGAUCUCUGGGCUGGAA
This 2309-nucleotide long non-coding RNA is filed under the name Triticum aestivum (bread wheat). Its description in RNAcentral is "long non-coding RNA (TAES_LNC018472)". The record is from RNAcentral. Lineage: Eukaryota; Viridiplantae; Streptophyta; Magnoliopsida; Poales; Poaceae.